Molecule: transfer RNA, 74 nt
Filed under: Lachnospiraceae bacterium
Lineage: Bacteria; Bacillati; Bacillota; Clostridia; Lachnospirales; Lachnospiraceae
Description: tRNA-Asn
Rfam family: tRNA
About the family: Transfer RNA (tRNA) molecules are approximately 80 nucleotides in length. Their secondary structure includes four short double-helical elements and three loops (D, anti-codon, and T loops). Further hydrogen bonds mediate the characteristic L-shaped molecular structure. tRNAs have two regions of fundamental functional importance: the anti-codon, which is responsible for specific mRNA codon recognition, and the 3' end, to which the tRNAs corresponding amino acid is attached (by aminoacyl-tRNA synthetases). tRNAs cope with the degeneracy of the genetic code in two manners: having more than one tRNA (with a specific anti-codon) for a particular amino acid; and 'wobble' base-pairing, i.e. permitting non-standard base-pairing at the 3rd anti-codon position.
Source: RNAcentral
GCCUCGAUAGCUCAGUCGGUAGUAGCACGCGGCUGUUAACCGCGGUGUCGUAGGUUCGAGUCCUACUCGGGGCG